UAUCUGUCCUGCCUCUCUGCUCCCAGCCGUUAAGAGGCCAGUGUUGAUCAGUGGCUGUCCAGGCCUUUCAGAGCCACUGACACGCCGGCAGCACAAUCAUCAUGUCUCUGACUCUACUGCUGGCCACCCUGGGGCUCCUUGUUCAGGGUUCAUCAGGAGACAUCACCCUGACUCAGUCUCCUGGAUCUCUGUCUGUUGUUCUGGGACAGACUGUCUCUAUCAGAUGUGAAGCCAGUUCAAGUGUUGAGUAUAGUGGUUAUAAGUGGCUCCACUGGUACUUUCAUAAACCAGGAGAAGCUCCUAAACUCCUGAUUUAUAGAGCUACAGGUCGUCACUCUGGAGUUUCAGAUCGUUUUAGUGGAAUUGCAUCUAGUGGGACUGACUACACUCUGACCAUCAGUAGAGUUCAGGCUGAAGAUUCAGGAGUUUACUACUGUCAGCAGAGUUACAGCACACCGUUCACACAGUGAUACAACGUCAUACAAAAACCUCCCUCAGCUGCAGAGGAACUGAUCUGACUCAACAGCUGCACUGACACUAAAACAACAGAGUUUUCAUCACAGCAUACUGUAUGUUAAGAAGUCAUUAUAUAAUAAAAUAAUUUCUUUGGAUGAUCAAAAUAGUUUUAUUGAUCUUUAGUUUGAAGAAGAUUUAUGUUUCUAAAGUUCACUACAACUACAGCCAAACACACACAGCAAGUGUCAAAGCAGUGUCCUUUAAACUGUGGUAUUCUAAAACAGUUACAUUAAAAUCAACGUUUUAAAUAUUGUAUAGUUGAAGAGAUUUUAGUUAUUAUGAAACUUCAUUUAACUCUUUUCAUUUCAUCUGAUUGAUCAGCUGCAAUAAAAGUAAAAGAAAAUGGUACAAAUUCUUCUAAUGAUGCAGUGACACAGGGCUUCAGACAAUGAGUCCAAUAUUAAAGCUAAACUCUGUUCUUUCAUGAUUUUCAUUACCUGAUAAGUUUACUUCACCAAGUAUGAAAACACAUGAACACUAAAGAUAUAAAUAUUAUAAAUUCUCCUAUAAAGAAUAAAUUCUCGCAGUUUAAGCCAAAACAUGUUAAUCACUGAAAUAAAAAAUACAAAAAAAUCUUUAUCAAUGAAACUGAAUCCUGUUAUAUAAUUCCUAAUCAUGUAGUUAUGUCAUAUUUUUGUCAUGGUGUGUGUUCUGUAUUCCACCGAAUAAAGAAAUGUAUUUUAGGAUUAAAACCAAAAAGGAUUUAUGUAUCCUUACAGAUUUGGAAACACUUUUUUGUUUUUGAUAUCUUUCAUUUUUCAACAUUUUCAAUUUUUGUAUAUUUUGUAGCUCCAAAUUAUUAAUUAAUUAUGUUUUUGUUGUGUGUGUUCUGUAUUCCAGCGAAUAAAGAAAUGUGUUUCAGGAUUAAAACCAAAAAAGAAUUUAUGUGGAUAAUUUGGAAACACUU
Lates calcarifer (barramundi perch) is the source of this 1423-nucleotide non-coding RNA. Lineage: Eukaryota; Metazoa; Chordata; Actinopteri; Centropomidae. The record is from the annotation of a RefSeq genome assembly.